UACGGAGGGUGCAAACGUUGCUCGGAAUUAUUGGGCGUAAAGCGCACGUAGGCGGCCGACCAAGUCGGGUGUGAAAGCCCUGGGCUCAACCCAGGAAGUGCACUCGAAACUGGUCGGCUUGAAUAUGGAAGAGGGUCGCGGAAUUCCCGGUGUAGAGGUGAAAUUCGUAGAUAUCGGGAGGAACACCAGUGGCGAAGGCGGCGACCUGGGCCAAUAUUGACGCUGAGGUGCGAAAGCGUGGGGAGCAAACAGG
This 253-nucleotide ribosomal RNA is filed under the name uncultured bacterium. RNAcentral describes it as "partial 16S ribosomal RNA". It matches the Rfam family "Bacterial small subunit ribosomal RNA", at positions 524 to 776 of the family's 1533-position model. The record is from RNAcentral.